This 440-nucleotide ribosomal RNA is filed under the name uncultured bacterium. Its description in RNAcentral is "partial 16S ribosomal RNA". It matches the Rfam family "Bacterial small subunit ribosomal RNA", at positions 338 to 795 of the family's 1533-position model. The record is from RNAcentral.
CCUACGGGAGGCAGCAGUGGGGAAUAUUGCACAAUGGGGGCAACCCUGACGCAGCGACGCCGCGUGAGUGAAGAAGUAUCUCGGUACGUAAAGCUCUAUCAGCAGGGAAGAAAAUGACGGUUCCUGAAUAAGAAACCCCGGCCAACUACGUGCCAGCAGCCGCGGUAAUACGUAGGGGGCAAGCGUUAUCCGGAUUUACUGGGUGUAAAGGGAGGGUAGACGGCAGCGCAAGUCUGGAGUGAAAUCCCGGGGCUUAACCCCGGAACUGCUUUGGAAACUGUGUAACUGGAGUGAAGGAGAGGCAGGCGGAAUUCCCAGUGUAGCGGUGAAAUGCGUAGAUAUUAGGAGGAACACCAGUGGCGAAGGCGGCCUGCUGGACUGUAACUGACGUUGAGGCUCGAAAGCGUGGGGAGCAAACAGGAUUAGAUACCCGAGUAGUC